GACGGAGGAUGCAAGUGUUAUCCGGAAUCACUGGGCGUAAAGCGUCUGUAGGUGGUUCAAUAAGUCAACUGUUAAAUCUUGAGGCUCAACCUCAAAAUCGCAGUCGAAACUAUUAGGCUAGAGUAUAGUAGGGGUAAAGGGAAUUUCCAGUGGAGCGGUGAAAUGCGUAGAGAUUGGAAAGAACACCGAUGGCGAAGGCACUUUACUGGGCUAUUACUAACACUCAGAGACGAAAGCUAGGGUAGCAAAUGGG
This 253-nucleotide ribosomal RNA is filed under the name uncultured bacterium. RNAcentral describes it as "partial 16S ribosomal RNA". It matches the Rfam family "Bacterial small subunit ribosomal RNA", at positions 524 to 776 of the family's 1533-position model. The record is from RNAcentral.